UCCUUGGUGGUCCAGCGGUUAAGACUCUGCACUUCCAAUGCAGGGUUUGUGAGUUUGAUCCCUGGUCAGGGAA
Molecule: transfer RNA, 73 nt
Filed under: Ovis aries (sheep)
Lineage: Eukaryota; Metazoa; Chordata; Mammalia; Artiodactyla; Bovidae
Rfam family: tRNA
About the family: Transfer RNA (tRNA) molecules are approximately 80 nucleotides in length. Their secondary structure includes four short double-helical elements and three loops (D, anti-codon, and T loops). Further hydrogen bonds mediate the characteristic L-shaped molecular structure. tRNAs have two regions of fundamental functional importance: the anti-codon, which is responsible for specific mRNA codon recognition, and the 3' end, to which the tRNAs corresponding amino acid is attached (by aminoacyl-tRNA synthetases). tRNAs cope with the degeneracy of the genetic code in two manners: having more than one tRNA (with a specific anti-codon) for a particular amino acid; and 'wobble' base-pairing, i.e. permitting non-standard base-pairing at the 3rd anti-codon position.
Source: Rfam by way of RNAcentral